This 240-nucleotide ribosomal RNA is filed under the name Chloropicon mariensis. Its description in RNAcentral is "partial Eukaryotic large subunit ribosomal RNA". It matches the Rfam family "Eukaryotic large subunit ribosomal RNA", at positions 104 to 347 of the family's 3401-position model. Lineage: Eukaryota; Viridiplantae; Chlorophyta; Chloropicophyceae; Chloropicales; Chloropicaceae. The record is from RNAcentral.
ACAGCUCAAAUUUGAAAUCUGGCUUUCGGGCCCGAGUUGUAAUUUGUAGAGGAUACUUUUGAUGCGGUGCCUUCCGAGUUCCCUGGAACGGGACGCCAUAGAGGGUGAGAGCCCCGUCUGGUUGGAUGCCAAAUCUCUGUAAAGUUCCUUCGACGAGUCGAGUAGUUUGGGAAUGCUGCUCUAAAUGGGAGGUAUAUGUCUUCUAAAGCUAAAUAUUGGCCAGAGACCGAUAGCGCACAA